AAUAUUCCUGUACUCGGUGUUACUGCGAAGGGGGGACGGAGAAGGCUAUGUUGGCCGGGCGACGGUUGUCCCGGUUUAAGCAUGUAGGCGGAUGUUCCAGGUAAAUCCGGAGCGUCACUAACGCUGAGGUGUGAUGACGAGGCACUACGGUGCUGAAGUGACAAAUGCCCUGCUUCCAGGAAAAGCCUCUAAGCAUCAGGUAACAUCAAAUCGUACCCCAAAC
This 223-nucleotide ribosomal RNA is filed under the name Klebsiella michiganensis. RNAcentral describes it as "partial 23S ribosomal RNA". It matches the Rfam family "Bacterial large subunit ribosomal RNA", at positions 1432 to 1654 of the family's 2925-position model. Lineage: Bacteria; Pseudomonadati; Pseudomonadota; Gammaproteobacteria; Enterobacterales; Enterobacteriaceae. The record is from RNAcentral.